RNAcentral lists this ribosomal RNA (834 nucleotides) under uncultured bacterium. RNAcentral's name for it is "bacterial SSU rRNA". It matches the Rfam family "Bacterial small subunit ribosomal RNA", at positions 76 to 947 of the family's 1533-position model. The record is from RNAcentral.
CGAACCUUCGGGUUAGUGGCGGACGGGUGAGUAACGCGUGAGAAUCUGCCCUCAGGAGGGGGAUAACAGUUGGAAACGACUGCUAAUACCCCAUAUGCCGAAAGGUAAAACGAAUUUCGCCUGGGGAUGAGCUCGCGUCUGGUUAGCUUGUUGGUGGGGUAACGGCCUACCAAGGCUUCGAUCAGUAGCUGGUCUGAGAGGACGAUCAGCCACACUGGGACUGAGACACGGCCCAGACUCCUACGGGAGGCAGCAGUGGGGAAUUUUCCGCAGUGGGCGCAAGCCUGACGGAGCAACGCCGCGUGAGGGAUGAAGGCCUUUGGGCUGUAAACCUCUUUUCUCAAGGAAGAAGAUCUGACGGUACUUGAGGAAUAAGCCACGGCUAAUUCCGUGCCAGCAGCCGCGGUAAUACGGGAGUGGCAAGCGUUAUCCGGAAUUAUUGGGCGUAAAGCGUCCGCAGGCGGCCGUUUAAGUCUGUUGUUAAAUCGUAGAGCUCAACUCUAUCACGGCAAUGGAAACUGUUCGGCUUGAGUAUGGUAGGGGCAGAGGGAAUUUCCGGUGUAGCGGUGAAAUGCGUAGAUAUCGGGAAGAACACCAGUGGCAAAAGCGCUCUGCUGGGCCAUUACUGACGCUCAUGGACGAAAGCCAGGGGAGCGAAAGGGAUUAGAUACCCCUGUAGUCCUGGCCGUAAACGAUGAACACUAGAUGUUGGGGGAAUCGACCCCUUCGGUGUCGUAGCUAACGCGUUAAGUGUUCCGCCUGGGGAGUACGCACGCAAGUGUGAAACUCAAAGGAAUUGACGGGGGCCCGCACAAGCGGUGGAGUACGUGGUUU